CGGCAACUAGAUAACCAGUAAUGUUCAUCUUCAAUUGCUUUAGCAUCCACAACGUUUUGAAGAAUAAUUGGAACUGUUGAAGAAUGAAAAGAACCUUACGCUUUAAAGAUACAGGGGUCAAUAUUCACCUUUAAUACCUGGCAACAACAAGGUGGUACCAGCCUCAAAAUGGACUCUGGAGUCAACACAGAUAAAGGCUAGCAACACAUUGGAAAGGUCCUAAAGCUA
Non-coding RNA from Chiloscyllium plagiosum (whitespotted bambooshark), 228 nucleotides. The record is from RefSeq and is a predicted model, not a curated record. Lineage: Eukaryota; Metazoa; Chordata; Chondrichthyes; Orectolobiformes; Hemiscylliidae.